This 2930-nucleotide ribosomal RNA is filed under the name Bacillus paranthracis. RNAcentral describes it as "23S ribosomal RNA". It matches the Rfam family "Bacterial large subunit ribosomal RNA". RNAcentral also lists the same sequence under 1 other name. The record is from RNAcentral. Lineage: Bacteria; Bacillati; Bacillota; Bacilli; Caryophanales; Bacillaceae.
UUUGGUUAAGUUAGAAAGGGCGCACGGUGGAUGCCUUGACACUAGGAGUCGAUGAAGGACGGGACUAACGCCGAUAUGCUUCGGGGAGCUGUAAGUAAGCUUUGAUCCGAAGAUUUCCGAAUGGGGAAACCCACUAUACGUAAUGGUAUGGUAUCCUUAUCUGAAUACAUAGGGUAAGGAAGACAGACCCAGGGAACUGAAACAUCUAAGUACCUGGAGGAAGAGAAAGCAAAUGCGAUUUCCUGAGUAGCGGCGAGCGAAACGGAACAUAGCCCAAACCAAGAGGCUUGCCUCUUGGGGUUGUAGGACAUUCUAUACGGAGUUACAAAGGAACGAGGUAGACGAAGCGACCUGGAAAGGUCCGUCGUAGAGGGUAACAACCCCGUAGUCGAAACUUCGUUCUCUCUUGAAUGUAUCCUGAGUACGGCGGAACACGUGAAAUUCCGUCGGAAUCUGGGAGGACCAUCUCCCAAGGCUAAAUACUCCCUAGUGAUCGAUAGUGAACCAGUACCGUGAGGGAAAGGUGAAAAGCACCCCGGAAGGGGAGUGAAAGAGAUCCUGAAACCGUGUGCCUACAAAUAGUCAGAGCCCGUUAACGGGUGAUGGCGUGCCUUUUGUAGAAUGAACCGGCGAGUUACGAUCCCGUGCGAGGUUAAGCUGAAGAGGCGGAGCCGCAGCGAAAGCGAGUCUGAAUAGGGCGUUUAGUACGUGGUCGUAGACCCGAAACCAGGUGAUCUACCCAUGUCCAGGGUGAAGUUCAGGUAACACUGAAUGGAGGCCCGAACCCACGCACGUUGAAAAGUGCGGGGAUGAGGUGUGGGUAGCGGAGAAAUUCCAAUCGAACCUGGAGAUAGCUGGUUCUCCCCGAAAUAGCUUUAGGGCUAGCCUUAAGUGUAAGAGUCUUGGAGGUAGAGCACUGAUUGGACUAGGGGUCCUCAUCGGAUUACCGAAUUCAGUCAAACUCCGAAUGCCAAUGACUUAUCCUUAGGAGUCAGACUGCGAGUGAUAAGAUCCGUAGUCAAAAGGGAAACAGCCCAGACCGCCAGCUAAGGUCCCAAAGUGUGUAUUAAGUGGAAAAGGAUGUGGAGUUGCUUAGACAACUAGGAUGUUGGCUUAGAAGCAGCCACCAUUUAAAGAGUGCGUAAUAGCUCACUAGUCGAGUGACUCUGCGCCGAAAAUGUACCGGGGCUAAAUACACCACCGAAGCUGCGGAUUGAUACCGAAUGGUAUCAGUGGUAGGGGAGCGUUCUAAGGACAGUGAAGUCAGACCGGAAGGACUGGUGGAGUGCUUAGAAGUGAGAAUGCCGGUAUGAGUAGCGAAAGACGGGUGAGAAUCCCGUCCACCGAAUGCCUAAGGUUUCCUGAGGAAGGCUCGUCCGCUCAGGGUUAGUCAGGACCUAAGCCGAGGCCGACAGGCGUAGGCGAUGGACAACAGGUUGAUAUUCCUGUACCACCUCUUUAUCGUUUGAGCAAUGGAGGGACGCAGAAGGAUAGAAGAAGCGUGCGAUUGGUUGUGCACGUCCAAGCAGUUAGGCUGAUAAGUAGGCAAAUCCGCUUAUCGUAAAGGCUGAGCUGUGAUGGGGAAGCUCCUUAUGGAGCGAAGUCUUUGAUUCCCCGCUGCCAAGAAAAGCUUCUAGCGAGAUAAAAGGUGCCUGUACCGCAAACCGACACAGGUAGGCGAGGAGAGAAUCCUAAGGUGUGCGAGAGAACUCUGGUUAAGGAACUCGGCAAAAUGACCCCGUAACUUCGGGAGAAGGGGUGCUUUCUUAACGGAAAGCCGCAGUGAAUAGGCCCAAGCGACUGUUUAGCAAAAACACAGCUCUCUGCGAAGCCGUAAGGCGAAGUAUAGGGGGUGACACCUGCCCGGUGCUGGAAGGUUAAGGAGAGGGGUUAGCGUAAGCGAAGCUCUGAACUGAAGCCCCAGUAAACGGCGGCCGUAACUAUAACGGUCCUAAGGUAGCGAAAUUCCUUGUCGGGUAAGUUCCGACCCGCACGAAAGGUGUAACGAUUUGGGCACUGUCUCAACCAGAGACUCGGUGAAAUUAUAGUACCUGUGAAGAUGCAGGUUACCCGCGACAGGACGGAAAGACCCCGUGGAGCUUUACUGUAGCCUGAUAUUGAAUUUUGGUACAGUUUGUACAGGAUAGGCGGGAGCCUUUGAAACCGGAGCGCUAGCUUCGGUGGAGGCGCUGGUGGGAUACCGCCCUGACUGUAUUGAAAUUCUAACCUACGGGUCUUAUCGACCCGGGAGACAGUGUCAGGUGGGCAGUUUGACUGGGGCGGUCGCCUCCUAAAGUGUAACGGAGGCGCCCAAAGGUUCCCUCAGAAUGGUUGGAAAUCAUUCGUAGAGUGCAAAGGCAUAAGGGAGCUUGACUGCGAGACCUACAAGUCGAGCAGGGACGAAAGUCGGGCUUAGUGAUCCGGUGGUUCCGCAUGGAAGGGCCAUCGCUCAACGGAUAAAAGCUACCCCGGGGAUAACAGGCUUAUCUCCCCCAAGAGUCCACAUCGACGGGGAGGUUUGGCACCUCGAUGUCGGCUCAUCGCAUCCUGGGGCUGUAGUCGGUCCCAAGGGUUGGGCUGUUCGCCCAUUAAAGCGGUACGCGAGCUGGGUUCAGAACGUCGUGAGACAGUUCGGUCCCUAUCCGUCGUGGGCGUAGGAAAUUUGAGAGGAGCUGUCCUUAGUACGAGAGGACCGGGAUGGACGCACCGCUGGUGUACCAGUUGUUCUGCCAAGGGCAUAGCUGGGUAGCUAUGUGCGGAAGGGAUAAGUGCUGAAAGCAUCUAAGCAUGAAGCCCCCCUCAAGAUGAGAUUUCCCAUAGCGUAAGCUAGUAAGAUCCCUGAAAGAUGAUCAGGUUGAUAGGUUCGAGGUGGAAGCAUGGUGACAUGUGGAGCUGACGAAUACUAAUAGAUCGAGGACUUAACCAUAUAA